AUUUAAAUAGCUUAAAAUCAAAGCCUAAUAUUGAAAAUAUUAAAAUGAGGUCCCCUCUUUAAAUA
Molecule: transfer RNA, 65 nt
Filed under: Elasmosoma sp. QL-2014
Lineage: Eukaryota; Metazoa; Arthropoda; Insecta; Hymenoptera; Braconidae
Description: tRNA-Phe
Source: RNAcentral